Molecule: ribosomal RNA, 2903 nt
Filed under: Escherichia coli
Lineage: Bacteria; Pseudomonadati; Pseudomonadota; Gammaproteobacteria; Enterobacterales; Enterobacteriaceae
Description: 23S ribosomal RNA
Rfam family: Bacterial large subunit ribosomal RNA
Source: RNAcentral
UUAAGCGACUAAGCGUACACGGUGGAUGCCCUGGCAGUCAGAGGCGAUGAAGGACGUGCUAAUCUGCGAUAAGCGUCGGUAAGGUGAUAUGAACCGUUAUAACCGGCGAUUUCCGAAUGGGGAAACCCAGUGUGAUUCGUCACACUAUCAUUAACUGAAUCCAUAGGUUAAUGAGGCGAACCGGGGGAACUGAAACAUCUAAGUACCCCGAGGAAAAGAAAUCAACCGAGAUUCCCCCAGUAGCGGCGAGCGAACGGGGAGCAGCCCAGAGCCUGAAUCAGUGUGUGUGUUAGUGGAAGCGUCUGGAAAGGCGCGCGAUACAGGGUGACAGCCCCGUACACAAAAAUGCACAUGCUGUGAGCUCGAUGAGUAGGGCGGGACACGUGGUAUCCUGUCUGAAUAUGGGGGGACCAUCCUCCAAGGCUAAAUACUCCUGACUGACCGAUAGUGAACCAGUACCGUGAGGGAAAGGCGAAAAGAACCCCGGCGAGGGGAGUGAAAAAGAACCUGAAACCGUGUACGUACAAGCAGUGGGAGCACAGAGCAAUCUGUGUGACUGCGUACCUUUUGUAUAAUGGGUCAGCGACUUAUAUUCUGUAGCAAGGUUAACCGAAUAGGGGAGCCGAAGGGAAACCGAGUCUUAACUGGGCGUUAAGUUGCAGGGUAUAGACCCGAAACCCGGUGAUCUAGCCAUGGGCAGGUUGAAGGUUGGGUAACACUAACUGGAGGACCGAACCGACUAAUGUUGAAAAAUUAGCGGAUGACUUGUGGCUGGGGGUGAAAGGCCAAUCAAACCGGGAGAUAGCUGGUUCUCCCCGAAAGCUAUUUAGGUAGCGCCUCGUGAAUUCAUCUCCGGGGGUAGAGCACUGUUUCGGCAAGGGGGUCAUCCCGACUUACCAACCCGAUGCAAACUACGAAUACCGGAGAAUGUUAUCACGGGAGACACACGGCGGGUGCUAACGUCCGUCGUGAAGAGGGAAACAACCCAGACCGCCAGCUAAGGUCCCAAAGUCAUGGUUAAGUGGGAAACGAUGUGGGAAGGCCCAGACAGCCAGGAUGUUGGCUUAGAAGCAGCCAUCAUUUAAAGAAAGCGUAAUAGCUCACUGGUCGAGUCGGCCUGCGCGGAAGAUGUAACGGGGCUAAACCAUGCACCGAAGCUGCGGCAGCGACGCUUAUGCGUUGUUGGGUAGGGGAGCGUUCUGUAAGCCUGUGAAGGUGUACUGUGAGGUAUGCUGGAGGUAUCAGAAGUGCGAAUGCUGACAUAAGUAACGAUAAAGCGGGUGAAAAGCCCGCUCGCCGGAAGACCAAGGGUUCCUGUCCAACGUUAAUCGGGGCAGGGUGAGUCGACCCCUAAGGCGAGGCCGAAAGGCGUAGUCGAUGGGAAACAGGUUAAUAUUCCUGUACUUGGUGUUACUGCGAAGGGGGGACGGAGAAGGCUAUGUUGGCCGGGCGACGGUUGUCCCGGUUUAAGCGUGUAGGCUGGUUUUCCAGGCAAAUCCGGAAAAUCAAGGCUGAGGCGUGAUGACGAGGCACUACGGUGCUGAAGCAACAAAUGCCCUGCUUCCAGGAAAAGCCUCUAAGCAUCAGGUAACAUCAAAUCGUACCCCAAACCGACACAGGUGGUCAGGUAGAGAAUACCAAGGCGCUUGAGAGAACUCGGGUGAAGGAACUAGGCAAAAUGGUGCCGUAACUUCGGGAGAAGGCACGCUGAUAUGUAGGUGAAGUCCCUCGCGGAUGGAGCUGAAAUCAGUCGAAGAUACCAGCUGGCUGCAACUGUUUAUUAAAAACACAGCACUGUGCAAACACGAAAGUGGACGUAUACGGUGUGACGCCUGCCCGGUGCCGGAAGGUUAAUUGAUGGGGUUAGCGCAAGCGAAGCUCUUGAUCGAAGCCCCGGUAAACGGCGGCCGUAACUAUAACGGUCCUAAGGUAGCGAAAUUCCUUGUCGGGUAAGUUCCGACCUGCACGAAUGGCGUAAUGAUGGCCAGGCUGUCUCCACCCGAGACUCAGUGAAAUUGAACUCGCUGUGAAGAUGCAGUGUACCCGCGGCAAGACGGAAAGACCCCGUGAACCUUUACUAUAGCUUGACACUGAACAUUGAGCCUUGAUGUGUAGGAUAGGUGGGAGGCUUUGAAGUGUGGACGCCAGUCUGCAUGGAGCCGACCUUGAAAUACCACCCUUUAAUGUUUGAUGUUCUAACGUUGACCCGUAAUCCGGGUUGCGGACAGUGUCUGGUGGGUAGUUUGACUGGGGCGGUCUCCUCCUAAAGAGUAACGGAGGAGCACGAAGGUUGGCUAAUCCUGGUCGGACAUCAGGAGGUUAGUGCAAUGGCAUAAGCCAGCUUGACUGCGAGCGUGACGGCGCGAGCAGGUGCGAAAGCAGGUCAUAGUGAUCCGGUGGUUCUGAAUGGAAGGGCCAUCGCUCAACGGAUAAAAGGUACUCCGGGGAUAACAGGCUGAUACCGCCCAAGAGUUCAUAUCGACGGCGGUGUUUGGCACCUCGAUGUCGGCUCAUCACAUCCUGGGGCUGAAGUAGGUCCCAAGGGUAUGGCUGUUCGCCAUUUAAAGUGGUACGCGAGCUGGGUUUAGAACGUCGUGAGACAGUUCGGUCCCUAUCUGCCGUGGGCGCUGGAGAAUUGAGGGGGGCUGCUCCUAGUACGAGAGGACCGGAGUGGACGCAUCACUGGUGUUCGGGUUGUCAUGCCAAUGGCACUGCCCGGUAGCUAAAUGCGGAAGAGAUAAGUGCUGAAAGCAUCUAAGCACGAAACUUGUCCCGAGAUGAGUUCUCCCUGACUCCUUGAGAGUCCUGAAGGAACGUUGAAGACGACGACGUUGAUAGGCCGGGUGUGUAAGCGCAGCGAUGCGUUGAGCUAACCGGUACUAAUGAACCGUGAGGCUUAACCU